This 500-nucleotide ribosomal RNA is filed under the name uncultured bacterium. Its description in RNAcentral is "bacterial SSU rRNA". It matches the Rfam family "Bacterial small subunit ribosomal RNA", at positions 29 to 531 of the family's 1533-position model. The record is from RNAcentral.
AGCGAACGUUAGCGGCGGGCCUAACACAUGCAAGUCGAACGCGAAAGGUCUUCGGACUGAGUAGAGUGGCGCACGGGUGAGUAACACGUAGGUAAUCUACCCUUUGGCGGGGAUAACGUUCCGAAAGGAGCGCUAAUACCGCAUAAGACCACGGAGUCUCCGGACGCUGUGGGAAAAGGUGGCCUCUUCUUGAAAGCUACCACCGAAGGAUGAGCCUGCGUCCCAUCAGCUAGUUGGUAAGGUAAUGGCUUACCAAGGCGAAGACGGGUAGCUGGUUUGAGAGAAUGAUCAGCCACACUGGCACUGGAACACGGGCCAGACUCCUACGGGAGGCAGCAGUGAGGAAUAUUGGGCAAUGGGCGAAAGCCUGACCCAGCCACGCCGCGUGAGCGAUGAAGGCCUUAGGGUUGUAAAGCUCUUUCAGGGGGGAAGAUAAUGACUGUACCCCCAGAAGAAGCCCCGGCUAACUCCGUGCCAGCAGCCGCGGUAAAGUCUGUACU